RNAcentral lists this ribosomal RNA (253 nucleotides) under uncultured bacterium. RNAcentral describes it as "partial 16S ribosomal RNA". It matches the Rfam family "Bacterial small subunit ribosomal RNA", at positions 524 to 776 of the family's 1533-position model. The record is from RNAcentral.
UACGUAGGAUGCAGGCGUUAAUCGGAAUUACUGGGCGUAAAGCGUGCGCAGGCGGUUUGCUAAGACAGGUGUGAAAUCCCCGGGCUUAACCUGGGAACUGCGCUUGUAACUGGCAAGCUUGAGUGUGGCAGAGGGGGGUGGAAUUCCACGUGUAGCAGUGAAAUGCGUAGAUAUUGGGAGGAACACCAGUGGCGAAGGCGGCUCACUGGACCGGAACUGACGCUGAGGCGCGAAAGCGUGGGGAGCAAACGGG